UCCCUCUCAGGACCACACCUGGAGAGUUUCCGGUAUUCUACCAGUCUUGGAUAUGGGAGGGAGAGUCAAGCAGAGGCCUGUCCAUUCCAUUCCUAGCUUGGGCAGUGGCCAGCGAGUGGAAGGUCAUCUGUUGCAAGU
Molecule: small nucleolar RNA, 138 nt
Organism: Ornithorhynchus anatinus (platypus)
Lineage: Eukaryota; Metazoa; Chordata; Mammalia; Monotremata; Ornithorhynchidae
Source: RefSeq, a predicted model, not a curated record